CCUAGCUAGUACCCCUGAGCACAAAGUGUUUUAGUUCAGCCCCCCGAAACUAGACGAGCUACUUCAAGACAGCCUAUGUAGGGCAAACCCGUCUCUGUCGCAAAAGAGUGGGAAGAUCUUCAAGUAGAGGUGACAAACCUAUCGAGCCUAGUUAUAGCUGGUUGUCUGAGAAGUGAAUAUGAGUUCAGCCUCCCAGCUCCCCCCAUCCAAGACAUCUAUGUCCACCCAGACCAAGAGUGAGCGAGAGAGUUAGUCAAAGAGGGUACAGCCCCUUUGAAAAAGGACACAACCUCCCCGGGAGACAAAAGAUCAUAAUUAACCUAAGGAGACUUGUUUUAGUGGGCCUAAAAGCAGCCAUCUAAGAAGAAAGCGUUAAAGCUCAUACAAAUCUCAACCCCCAAUACCGAACCCAACUCUUAAAUCCCCCAUCAUUAUCAGACCCUCCCACAGACCGUGGGAAAGACCCUGCUAGGAUGAGUAAUAAGAGGGAUAGCCCCUCUCCUUCACACAUGUGUACGUCGGAGCGGACCAACCGCCGACAAUUAACGAUCCCCCACUCGAGGGAACUGUAAUACUGCCUGAAUACCUAGAAAACCUAACACGAUAAACCGUUGACCCAACACAGGUGUGUGCCCCCGGAAAGACUUAAAUAAAGGGAAGGAACUCGGCAAACACAAGCCUCGCCUGUUUACCAAAAACAUCGCCUCUUGCAAAACGAACGAAUAAAGGUCCCGCCUGCCCUGUGACUAUAUGUUUAACGGCCGCGGUAUUUUGACCGUGCGAAGGUAGCGCAAUCACUUGUCUUUUAAAUGGAGACCUGUAUGAAAGGCAUCACGAGGGCUUAGCUGUCUCCCCUCUAAAGUCAAUGAAAUUGAUCUCCCCGUGCAGAAGCGGGGAUAUGCUCGUAAGACGAGAAGACCCUAUGGAGCUUAAGAUACAAGGCGACUCACGUCAAGCACCCCCUUAAAGGAAACGAACGAAAUGAGUUCCGCUGGAAUGUCUUCGGUUGGGGCGACCGCGGGGAAAGACAAAACCCCCACAUGGACCAGGGCAACUAAAGCCCUAAAACCUAGACCCACAGGUCAAAUCAACAGUAAUUCUGACCACCAAAGAGCCGGCAAUGCCGAUCGACGGACCGAGUUACCCUAGGGAUAACAGCGCAAUCCCCUCCCAGAGCCCUUAUCGACGAGGGGGUUUACGACCUCGAUGUUGGAUCAGGACAUCCUAAUGGUGCAGCCGCUAUUAAGG
This 1248-nucleotide ribosomal RNA is filed under the name Stenobrachius nannochir (garnet lanternfish). RNAcentral describes it as "16S ribosomal RNA". It matches the Rfam family "Bacterial large subunit ribosomal RNA", at positions 619 to 2570 of the family's 2925-position model. The record is from RNAcentral. Lineage: Eukaryota; Metazoa; Chordata; Actinopteri; Myctophiformes; Myctophidae.